Molecule: ribosomal RNA, 253 nt
Filed under: uncultured bacterium
Lineage: Bacteria
Description: partial 16S ribosomal RNA
Rfam family: Bacterial small subunit ribosomal RNA
Source: RNAcentral
GACAGAGGUGCCAAGCGUUAGGCGGAAUCACUGGGCUUAAAGCGUGUGUAGGCGGGUUCCUAAGUACCUUGUGAAAUCCCCCGGCUCAACCGGGGAACGGCUGGGUAUACUGGGUGCCUUGGGUCAUCUAGGGGCUGCCGGAACAAAUGGUGGAGCGGUGAAAUGCGUAGAUAUCAUUUGGAACGCCAACGGCGAAAGCAGGCAGCUGGGGAUGCACCGACGCUGAGACACGAAAGCCAGGGGAGCGAACGGG